GGAGCGACGCCGCGUGGAGGAUGAAGGUCUUCGGGUUGUAAACUCCUGUCAUGCGGGAACAAGCAAGUGAUAGUACCGCAAGAGGAAGAGACGGCUAACUCUGUGCCAGCAGCCGCGGUAAUACAGAGGUCUCAAGCGUUGUUCGGAUUCAUUGGGCGUAAAGGGUGCGUAGGUGGUGGCGCAAGUCUGGUGUGAAAUCUCGGAGCUUAACUCCGAAAUUGCACCGGAUACUGCGUGACUCGAGGACUGUAGAGGAGAUCGGAAUUCACGGUGUAGCAGUGAAAUGCGUAGAUAUCGUGAGGAAGACCAGUUGCGAAGGCGGAUCUCUGGGCAGUUCCUGACACUGAGGCACGAAGGCCAGGGGAGCAAACGGGAUUAGAUACCCCGGUAGUCCUGGCAGUAAACGGUGCACGUUUGGUGUGGGCGAGUUCAGACCCCGUCCGUGCCGGAGCUAACGCGUUAAACGUGCCGCCUGGGAAGUACGGUCGCAAGAUUA
RNAcentral lists this ribosomal RNA (496 nucleotides) under uncultured Verrucomicrobiota bacterium. Its description in RNAcentral is "bacterial SSU rRNA". It matches the Rfam family "Bacterial small subunit ribosomal RNA", at positions 388 to 896 of the family's 1533-position model. Lineage: Bacteria; Pseudomonadati; Verrucomicrobiota. The record is from RNAcentral.